UCGCUUGCCGAAAAAUGGCGGAGACCAAAAGUAUUCAGAUGUGUAUAGUGUGCCUUUGUGUUAUAAAAAAAGCGUUGAAAUUUGGCUAGAGGAUGAGGCUACAAUGACUGUGAGGAAAGGUAGUUUAGUGUGUGCUAAGCACUUCACGGAGGAUGAGGUCCGUGUCCAACCGGAGUACAGUCGAUCUCGCACCGUGGGCUCCAAGUUUGCGUGGAAAAGUUGUGGAGACGUUAAAUCACGCGUCAAAACGGGAUGUUUGUGGUGCAGAGCAAUACAUGUGGAGAUGGUGCAGGAGCACGAAUACACAGCCGCCCAGUCCCAGUGCUCUUGCUGAGGCAUGGGAAAAAUAAAGGAGCUGGAAAAAACACCUGCUAGUGACAUCAGCAUCAUCGACACACCUGCCAGUGACACCAUGCUUUUCUUCACCUGCUAGUAACUUGUCUGCUUUGUGAUAAGCAAAUUUAGCUAUCUUCCAUUUUGCAUGGUCCCCAAUAAACUCAACGUGGAAUGCCUCUCCGAUUUCUUUCACACCAGGGCACUUAACCUCUACCAGGCCACAGGGAGGUUCUUCAUUUGGGUCCACCACUUUGCCAUCUGCACCAAGGUGUGGAGCAUCAGGGUGGAUGAUGAGACCAGAUGGAAGAACGUUAACGUCAAAGGUCUCCUCAUAGCGGUGAAGAACCUCUGG
Molecule: long non-coding RNA, 688 nt
Organism: Carassius auratus (goldfish)
Lineage: Eukaryota; Metazoa; Chordata; Actinopteri; Cypriniformes; Cyprinidae
Exons: 3
Source: RefSeq, a predicted model, not a curated record